Molecule: long non-coding RNA, 1616 nt
Organism: Rhinopithecus roxellana (golden snub-nosed monkey)
Lineage: Eukaryota; Metazoa; Chordata; Mammalia; Primates; Cercopithecidae
Exons: 3
Source: RefSeq, a predicted model, not a curated record
UACUCGUGCAUGGCAUUGUCAGGUUCCAGCAACUGUGUGUGCAGCAAGCAGAAAUGCAGUAUUUAUCUCUGACAGGCAAACAUUCUUAAGCUCGUCGGCAUGAGUGUCCACACUGAACUGGCUAUCAGGGAAAUAGACCCCUGCAUGGGAAAGUCAAGAGCUUCAGAAUCUUCUGCAUUUAUCCAAGACAAGAGAAAAGAAAUUUGAGAAAGUGUACCUGUUUUUCGCCAUCUUCUACUCACUUGCUCUUGGAAUUAACAAAACACACAACCAUACCUAAGUGCAAAGUGGUCGAGAAAUGUAUUUCCUGAUGGGGCAACCACCUUCCAGUGAUAACUUCACACUCUGAAAGGGACAGAUGGAUCAGUUUGUCAAGGUCUGAGCAAACAGUAGGAAUAAAUGGAGUGCUCCGAAGGCAAAUCUGCAGUGGUGUAUUCAAUUUGAUAAAAUCACCUUUGCAUAUUUUUCUCCUGCAUUUCCUGAACCACUCCACUAAGGGAGACAGCCUAGUACUUCUUGACUUUUUUCUCUUCAAAUGGCUGCUUCUGAGUCGCAGAUGUAAAAUAACAGGAAUCAAAGGAUUCGUGGAUCAAGAAAAAUGACUCCAGAUCAUUUCCAGUAGGUUAUUUCCUUGAAGCUGUUCCGCUCUGCCCCCAGGAGGUGUGAUGGAUUUGAACUAAAUGUAAUCAAAACUUUUCACCUGCAUCCUUAUUUCCUGAAAGUAGCUCAGUCCCAUGAAGCUGAACUUUCUGCAGCUGUGAGACCCACGGCAUGGCUGCUUCCUUAGGGGAAAUAAACUCAACGUUUCUCUGAGUCAGAACCACAGAACAACAGUCUCAUGAAAUGCUCUAUGCCAAACAAAAAGCACUCUGCACUCAGAUUUGGGAUGAGGUGUACAUGCUAUCAGCUCUCAGAGGGCGACAGAGCACAUCCAAGCUUCUGGAUCCCCUGCAGCAGAGAAAUCAUUUUAUUCAUAACUCUCUUUAACUUAGCCACUUGUGUUCAUUUUUGAGCGCUGCCUUAACAAAGUAACAACUGGGUAGUUUAGACAACAGAAAUGUAUUGUCUCACAGUUCCGGAGGCUAGAAGUUCAAAGUCAAAGUGUUGGCAGCCCUGUCCUAAGCCUUCCUCCUUGGCUUGUAGAUGGCUGAUUUCAUAUUUACAGGGCAUUCUCCCCAUAUAAGUGUCUAUCUCCAAAUUCCACCUGUUUAUAAAGACACCAGUUAUAGUGGAUUAGAGUCCAUCUAACGACUUCAUUUUAAUUUGAUUACCUCUGUAAAGACCCUGUCUCCAAAUAAGGUCACAUUCUGAGGUACUGAGGUUUAGAACGUACAUCUGAAUUUGAGGAGGGAGAUGUAAUUCAACUGAUUACACCACUGAAUCCUUCUUUUUCCCCAGGUCCUCUAUUAACAACCUGAAGAACACGUUUAGAAAGAUGUUACUGUGGCUUCACAGAUACCAUGCUCUUCUUCAAUGGUUCCCAAAUGCCAUUUGCAGAAUAUAUGCAGAAUCACUGGGAGUGCUUUUUAGAAUUCUAAAUCUGCCAGGCAUGGUGGCUAACACCUGUAAUUCCAGUACUUUGGGAGACCAAGGCAGGCAGAUUGCUUGAGCCCAGG